GAUUGAACGCUGGCGGCAUGCUUUACACAUGCAAGUCGAACGGCAGCGGGGGCUUCGGCCUGCCGGCGAGUGGCGAACGGGUGAGUAAUGCAUCGGAACGUGCCCAUGUCGUGGGGGAUAACGUAUCGAAAGGUACGCUAAUACCGCAUACGCCCUGAGGGGGAAAGCGGGGGAUUCUUCGGAACCUCGCGCGAUUGGAGCGGCCGAUGUCGGAUUAGCUAGUAGGUGAGGUAAAGGCUCACCUAGGCGACGAUCCGUAGCGGGUCUGAGAGGAUGAUCCGCCACACUGGGACUGAGACACGGCCCAGACUCCUACGGGAGGCGGCAGUGAGGAAUAUUGGUCAAUGGGCGCAAGCCUGAACCAGCCACGUCGCGUGAAGGAAGACGGCCCUACGGGUUGUAAACUUCUUUUGUAAGGAAAUAAAGUGUAGUACGUGUACUAUUUUGCAUGUACCUUACGAAUAAGGAUCGGCUAACUCCGUGCCAGCAGCCGCGGUAAUACGGAGGAUCCGAGCGUUAUCCGGAUUUAUUGGGUUUAAAGGGUGCGCAGGCGGGAGAUUAAGUCGGCGGUGAAAUUUUGCAGCUUAACUGUAAAAGUGCCUUCGAAACUGGUUUCCUUGAGUGUAGAUGAAGUAGGCGGAAUUUGUGGUGUAGCGGUGAAAUGCAUAGAUAUCACGAGGAACUCCGAUUGCGCAGGCAGCUUACUAAACUACUACUGACGCUCAGGCACGAAGGCGUGGGGAUCAAACAGGAUUAGAUACCCUGGUAGUCCACGCAGUAAACGAUGAUUACUCGCUGUUUGCGAUAUACAGUAAGCGGCUUAGCGAAAGCGUUAAGUAAUCCACCUGGGGAGUACGUUCGCAAGAAUGAAACUCAAAGGAAUUGACGGGGGCCCGCACAAGCGGAGGAACAUGUGGUUUAAUUCGAUGAUACGCGAGGAACCUUACCCGGGCUUGAAAUGCAUCUGACAGGAGCAGAGACGCUCCCUCCCUUCGGGGCAGAUGUGUAGGUGCUGCAUGGUUGUCGUCAGCUCGUGCCGUGAGGUGUCGGCUUAAGUGCCAUAACGAGCGCAACCCUCAUCAUUAGUUACCAUCAGGUCAAGCUGGGGACUCUAAUGAGACUGCCAUCGUAAGAUGCGAGGAAGGUGGGGAUGACGUCAAAUCAGCACGGCCCUUACGUCCGGGGCGACACACGUGUUACAAUGGAUGGUACAAAGGGCAGCUACAUGGCGACAUGAUGCUAAUCUCUAAAACCAUUCUCAGUUCGGAUCGGAGUCUGCAACUCGACUCCGUGAAGCUGGAUUCGCUAGUAAUCGCGCAUCAGCCACGGCGCGGUGAAUACGUUCCCGGGCCU
This 1353-nucleotide ribosomal RNA is filed under the name uncultured bacterium. Its description in RNAcentral is "bacterial SSU rRNA". It matches the Rfam family "Bacterial small subunit ribosomal RNA", at positions 27 to 1381 of the family's 1533-position model. The record is from RNAcentral.